This 1231-nucleotide long non-coding RNA is filed under the name Anas platyrhynchos platyrhynchos (common mallard). RNAcentral's name for it is "lncRNA (ENSAPLG00000025703.1)". The record is from RNAcentral. Lineage: Eukaryota; Metazoa; Chordata; Aves; Anseriformes; Anatidae.
CCAGACUGCGGUUGUGGGAGUCCUGCAAGUCCUUUUUGGUUUCAUCAGACCUUUCUGAGAUGCCCAGAAACUGAUCCUUGUGAUGGAGGCAGAGACGUGUCUGAGCUGGAGUGGACUGACAGAAGAUAUAAGGUUGGCAGAACAAUUCUCAAGCUUCUUCAUUCCCCAUCAUGAUGCAAAGUGCAAAACCACAGCUUCUCCUCUUCUUUUGACUGCACACACUGUGUACAGCUUUGACAUGUGAAACUACAAAAAGUGAGAACAGAUUAUGGCAUUUCAUUGCUGUUUUGGGGUGCUGGCUGCUGUGGGAACCCACACUUGAUGCAUCAAACCUGGGGUCUGUCAGUGCUUGGCUGUUCUUCCAGAUCUACUUUGCUUUCCCCUGGCUGCUGAACAGUCCCAGGGUGAAAUGCUGCUGGCAGUGAGCAGUACAGCUUCCCUUUCCUCCAGGAUUGGUGCACGAUACAGAGCAGAGGAAGAUUUCAGUGCUUGAACAGGGCUUUGUGGCUUAAUCCUGGUUGAGGAUUCAGUAGAUGUGGGUACAAAGGGGCUGCAGUGUUAGAUCCCCAAAGCAAGAGGGUGUUUGCAAACCACCACAGGACAGGAUGCACCAGGCAACAGCUCACCCAUGAAGACUGACAGCUCUGGAGCCUGAUCCUGCAAGGACAGGAGCUCAGCAUCACCCAGAUCUGAGCCAAAGCACUGGGGCCACUCCAGAUCUGAGCCAAAGCACUGGGGCCACUUGCUCUGGGGCUCGUGGACACCUCAUUUUGGGAAGGACAAAGGGCAAGCUGACACGAUUAUGCUCUGGCAAACAUCUCUGCCUGAGCACGGUGGUGCUGGCUGCUGCCAACGAGCCAGUGUGAAACAGGCUGUCUGCAGGAAGGCUGGAGGAGCUCGCAGAGGAGAAGGGAAGAGGGUAAUGAAAGCAGCGUUUGGCUUUUUGUCUCCAAAUGAUCAUCGCCUUGUGAAUCAGGUUACCAGAGUCAUUGCUUGUGGGACGAGUGCUUCCUUUUCGACUUCUUGAGAUCUUACAUCCCCUACAAAUCAUCUCUGUUGUCUGUCACUGAGUUCAGUAACCUACAGACAGCCUUCAUUUCUGGACUUCCAGAGCCACACAGUGAGAGAGAAAAGUAGCAGAUAAAUCUCUCCUGGGUUUGGAUAUUCCUCAGCAAACAGUACUUUGCUUAAUUACUCAGAGGAUACUUCCUUAAUUAGGUGGCUGCUCCUG